Molecule: microRNA precursor, 52 nt
Filed under: Equus caballus (horse)
Lineage: Eukaryota; Metazoa; Chordata; Mammalia; Perissodactyla; Equidae
Description: mir-1302 microRNA precursor family
Rfam family: mir-1302 microRNA precursor family
Source: Rfam by way of RNAcentral
UUUUCAGUAGAAGUAUGUCUCAUGCAAUAUUUGAGAGACACUUCUGCUAAAA